CGUGAGCAAUCUGCCUUUCAGAGGGGGAUACCGAUUGGAAACGAUCGUUAAUACCGCAUAACAUAAUUGAACCGCAUGAUUUGAUUAUCAAAGAUUUAUCGCUGAAAGAUGAGCUCGCGUCUGAUUAGCUAGUUGGUAAGGUAACGGCUUACCAAGGCGACGAUCAGUAGCCGGACUGAGAGGUUGAUCGGCCACAUUGGGACUGAGACACGGCCCAG
RNAcentral lists this ribosomal RNA (218 nucleotides) under uncultured bacterium. Its description in RNAcentral is "partial 16S ribosomal RNA". It matches the Rfam family "Bacterial small subunit ribosomal RNA", at positions 116 to 334 of the family's 1533-position model. The record is from RNAcentral.